CCGAGUUAUACAACUCAUCAACCCUGUGAACAUACCUAUAACGUUGCCUCGGCGGGAACAGACGGCCCGUAACACGGCCGCCCCCGCCAGAGGACCCCCUAACUCUGUUUCUAUAAUGUUUCUUCUGAGUAAACCAAGCAAAUAAAUUA
This 149-nucleotide unclassified non-coding RNA is filed under the name soil metagenome. Its description in RNAcentral is "partial internal transcribed spacer 1". The record is from RNAcentral.